Anguilla rostrata (American eel) is the source of this 2988-nucleotide long non-coding RNA. RefSeq lists it as uncharacterized. NCBI's taxonomy places the organism in Eukaryota, Metazoa, Chordata, Actinopteri, Anguilliformes, Anguillidae. The record is from RefSeq and is a predicted model, not a curated record. The transcript is spliced from 2 exons.
AUAACAAUGUGUGGAUAUGUGUAGCCUGCUAGCUUCCUAGCAAGUUGAACAGAAACCUUGCUGGCAAGCUAGUUUGUUGUAGCUUUGAUGUUAGUCGCUUGCCUUGUCGAAUGGCACUGAGCGAUUGAACAAGUUUGGGGGAAAGUUUGCGCUAUAUCAGCCACUCCUCUGUUUGUGGGGCACCACUAAUUUCUGUUGCUGACUUGCUGUGGGGAUGCAUGUAGCACAUCAGAUUUGCUAGCUAAACAGUGCUUGCAACAGUUCAGCAUCAUUGUACUGGGUAACUAGACGACAGUCAAGUCUAUGCAACUAAUGCUGAAGCUUCCUUUCUGAGGUUUUAUAGAAGUUACCAAACCAUGCAGUUCACCGUAGGUGUUUAUGAAGUAUGUUUAAUUUUAUUGCAUUUGUCAGCCAGGCAUAGCUACCUGAGGUGUUGUUAAACUUCGUUUCGCCCAAAUUGGCGAGCUAGCUAACGUUGGCUAAGCACUUGGGAAAAGGAUGUACCGAAACCGUGUAGCUAGAAGCUAAAUGUUAGCUAUCUGUGUAAUGUGACGUUUACUUUGCGGGACAAGGAAGACUGUGGAGUUUCCGUCCUUAGAGUUACACACUUCAGCCAACGACUUGCUAGAGAAUGUGCCCGUGACUGCCUAUGGCAGAUGGCUGAAAUGUAGUUGCUGCUGUCUGAUUCUGAGAACACUAGUGGCCUUUUGUUGUAACCCUUUGAGUGGAUUUUUUUGGAAUGUUUUUUUUUUUUUUUCUCCAGAACUCCGUUGCUUUCAGUUACCAGCGGUGAUUGUUACACCAACAUUACAAGGUUCAGUUACAAUUCAGAGCAUUCAAAUCACAUAUUUGUUAAAAAGUGAAGUGUUUCUUCUUGAAUUAAGACACCUAAGACACGUAAGUGCCUGUACGUUUAUACUCGCAGUUCCAUAAAAUACUGCCUUCAGAAAAUUUAUACCCAUGCUCUUGCUGCAACACUCAUCACAGUCUCCGUUGGGGAUUCAGGAAAGCAUAGAUGAGCUUGUACUCUGCUACAAAGCACAGUUUGUACUCACGUGCAGCUCAACAGAGGAACCUGAUGGUGACUUAAAGACCAGUGGGGGUCUCUUUCCAUCAGCCCCUACAGUAUUUGAUUUUUAAAAGGACAGAUGGGUUAAAUGACACUAGCUACUGUGUCUAACCCGUUAUAGGUGUUGAAGUUAAUUUCAUGCACUCCUGUGAACCCAUUUUUGGCUGGACCGCAACAGCGGGGCCAGCCCUAUAAAUGCAAAUGUCUGUGACUGAGUGACUGAGUGAGUGAUGAAGUUACACCGCGCAUGUCUGUGACUGAGUGACUGACUGAUGAAGUUACACCAUUGGUCGGUCCAGCCAUAUACUAGGUUUUGACCUGGUCUUGUUUCAUGGCAUUUUGGUGUAUUGUGAUACGCGAUUAGGUUUCUAAAAAGUGCAAUGCUUUAUGUGCUAACGCGUGACAUUCUGCAGAAAGUCACAAUCAUUUGAAUACUACCACUAGGACAUGUGGCCAAGUAGUUCGUAGUGAAGUGAAACCUAAACCAGGUGUGACAUUAUUGUGACAACUACAGUAGCAUAUGCUACAUAGGAGAAGUGAGACAGCUACAGAAUCACAUCACCUGGCAUGCGAGGUACAGAUGUAGCUGUAACAGUCCUCCUACCUGUCGGUACCAGUAAGAUUUGAUCAUAAGGUUAUCUGAACCCUAUGAUAAUUCUUCCACAGUAAAGUUAGGCUAUAAGCUAGGUUUAUUCACUCUCAAAAGUAAAAGAAGUGUCUUGAAAUAUAGGCUAUAGCAUAAAGGUUGUUUGGUGGGAAUUAAAUCUCAUGUUGGGACUGAAUCUGCAUCCUAUCAAAUGUAAUGUUAAAGAAGCUGUAUUUUAUUUUAUUUGUGAACACCCUGAUAAAUAUAUUGCGAUUUAUGAUAACCAGAAUGAUGUUUGCGUUGUAGAUAAACUUUUGGUCCUGGAGUGGUGGAGGAUUGUUGAAUGAGACGAAUAUUGUUUGUAGUGUGUGCUUUACAGCCAUCUGUAUUAACACUGACAUAGUAACAUCUGUACUUUCACAGAGGAUAAUAUUUCCUGAAGUGCAUUGUUAACGUGGCCUACAUGUUGACCAGAUAAAGUUUCCAUUUUGCAAACUGCUUUGAAACACCAACUGAUGCUGUGAUUUAACUGUAAAAUUGGCCUGUAAAAAUUUAUACUGGUUGUGUGAAUGAUGGUACAUCCUAUAUGUAGGCUACAUGGUAUCUUUGAGUCUUCCUGGAGUCCCUUUUACCUGUGAGGUCCUCCUGAGUAAUCUGUAGGACUCCACAGUAACUGCAUAUCCUGUACUGAAGUCAAUUUAGCCUAAAUGUCACUAGUCAGAGCACAUACAGUCCACACAGCAUGAUGUAAAAAAAAAAGACGUUCACGUGGAAGUCCUACAGUUCAGCUUCAGCUUGUUGAAGUCUGUUGGUUUACAGCGUCAGUUCUGUUGAGUACUAGGAUGGGGUGCAUGGAGAAUUUGCUAGUGUGGCUAUCUAAAUGGGUCUUUGUCCUGUUUCUGUUUAUACAGUAGCCUACUUUAUUUUUUUUUUUACGGGAGCGCUUUAAUGUGAUUCACAAACUUAACUAGUAGCCUAAAUCUGGUUAAGUUAGGUAGCUCCAACUUACUACUCUGUCUGAGGCAAACAACUCCUCACUGUGUCAACAAGAUGAGCAUUAUUAUGCCCGCGCUAUGACAGGAUGUAGAGAUAACGGUUGCCGUGCCCACACCGGUAUGGCAAAAUGUAGAGUUGACCGUUGUGAUUUGAGCUUGACCGAUAUGUGGUUUUUAAGCCUGAUAAAGAUAGUGAUUUCAGAGGGGGAAAUUCUCUGAUUAUCGAUAUGGUGGCUGAAGUUUUUGAGCCGGAAUGAAAAUGAACAUUUUCUGUGUGGCUUAUGCACUCCUAUGACAAUGAAAAGGCACUCAGGAGGCUAGUUUCUUAACAAAAACUU